CAUGUAACUAUAAUGAAAUGUAUUUUAGUACUUGUGAACGAAAGACUGAAAACCAGCAGGAAUUUUUCACACGUAUAUUUCGUCCACCAUUGCUUUUAUCUUUGUCUGCCAAUUCAGCUCGUUAAAAAAAGAGUAAAAAAAAAGAGUUCGUAUCUGCAUUCAACUAAGUGGAGCGGUACACAUCAUGAUUACUCCGGGACAAAAAUGUCGAGUUCAGAUACAAACAGGCCUAUCUAAUC
Molecule: long non-coding RNA, 239 nt
Filed under: Brachypodium distachyon (stiff brome)
Lineage: Eukaryota; Viridiplantae; Streptophyta; Magnoliopsida; Poales; Poaceae
Description: long non-coding RNA (BDIS_LNC001450)
Source: RNAcentral